UACGUAGGGUGCGAGCGUUGUCCGGAAUUAUUGGGCGUAAAGAGCUUGUAGGCGGUUUGUCGCGUCUGCUGUGAAAUUUCGGGGCUCAACCCCGGACUUGCAGUGGGUACGGGCAGACUAGAGUGUGGUAGGGGAGACUGGAAUUCCUGGUGUAGCGGUGAAAUGCGCAGAUAUCAGGAGGAACACCGGUGGCGAAGGCAGGUCUCUGGGCCGAUACUGACGCUGAGGAGCGAAAGCGUGGGGAGCGAACAGG
This 253-nucleotide ribosomal RNA is filed under the name uncultured bacterium. Its description in RNAcentral is "partial 16S ribosomal RNA". It matches the Rfam family "Bacterial small subunit ribosomal RNA", at positions 524 to 776 of the family's 1533-position model. The record is from RNAcentral.